CCUACGGGGGGCAGCAGUGAGGAAUAUUGGUCAAUGGGCGCGAGCCUGAACCAGCCAAGUAGCGUGAAGGAUGACUGCCCUACGGGUUGUAAACUUCUUUUAUAAAGGAAUAAAGUGAGGCACGUGUGCCUUUUUGUAUGUACUUUAUGAAUAAGGAUCGGCUAACUCCGUGCCAGCAGCCGCGGUAAUACGGAGGAUCCGAGCGUUUACCGGAUUUAUUGGGUUUAAAGGGUGCGUAGAUGGGUUGUUAAGUAAGUUGGGAAAGUUUGCGGCUCACCCGUAAAAGUGCAAUUGAUACUGGCAGUCUUGAGUACAGUUGAGGUAGGCGGAAUGCGUGGUGUAGCGGUGAAAUGCAUAGAUAUCACGAAGAACUCCGAUUGCGAAGGCAGCUUACUAAACUGCCACUGACAUUGAUGCACGAAAGUGUGGGUAUCAAACAGGAUUAGAUACCCCAGUAGUC
Molecule: ribosomal RNA, 460 nt
Filed under: uncultured bacterium
Lineage: Bacteria
Description: partial 16S ribosomal RNA
Rfam family: Bacterial small subunit ribosomal RNA
Source: RNAcentral